Oreochromis aureus is the source of this 814-nucleotide long non-coding RNA. RefSeq lists it as uncharacterized. The transcript has 4 exons. Lineage: Eukaryota; Metazoa; Chordata; Actinopteri; Cichliformes; Cichlidae. The record is from RefSeq and is a predicted model, not a curated record.
AGCUAUUGGGCUACUUUUAAAACACGUUGCCUUUUCUCUCCAAAGCAGCCAGUAUCGCUCUUUUCAAACUAACUGUGUUUUAAUCACACUCAUUUUGUGAUUCUGAUGUCACAGCAUGCAGCGAUGCAACCAUUUUAUUUAUUUAAAAACAGAUCAUUUUCUUCCGUAAGGAGUUUCAUGGUUUCACAGUAGUUUUUAACACAACAGAUGGUCGCAUCGGUUCCUUUCUUUUUGGAAACACCCAUCCUAUAUAAGACACACUCAGAGCCUGAAACCCUUAGCCAUUUACCCGUCAAGAUUCGCUGCGGAGCACACCAUUUUCUUUGAGAUCAUCAAAACUAACAUCGUUCUUUAUAACAUGGACAUCGUAAACGGUAAGUAAAACAAAACCUAUUAUUGUGUUUUUAAAGGUGUUAUAUUAUAGGAUAUUCAAACAAUUUUUUUUCCUAAAACAAAAGCUUAAUUUUUAGGAGUUCGGGAGAACGGCGCAGGACCCGUUUCUUUAGAAACGGGCGCAUUUACAGCUGGAACGAGUUCUCUAACAAGCACAAGGGUUAACAAACUGAGUAGGAAAACAUUCAGACACAGAGACCACAGAGCCCAACCUUACAACAGAGCCACGCCAGAGAACCGUGUGUGUGGAGAAGCAGGACCGUCCGGAAUAACGCACACUACAAGACUGCAGAACAGUACCCCCCCUCAUAAUGAUCAGGACACCGUACGAUCCCUGACGUUUUUGGAACGUUUAAGCAGUAUCGACCUCCCAGAACAACAAAAACCUGGAGCUUUGUACAACAGCGGAGAGUCAGAACCG